Molecule: ribosomal RNA, 529 nt
Filed under: uncultured bacterium
Lineage: Bacteria
Description: bacterial SSU rRNA
Rfam family: Bacterial small subunit ribosomal RNA
Source: RNAcentral
ACGUAAUAGAUACCCCGGUAGUCCACGCCGUAAACGAUGAGCACUAGGUGUCGCGGGUAUUGACCCCUGCGGUGCCGACGCUAAACGCAUUAAGUGCUCCGCCUGGGGACUACGGCCGCAAGGUUAAAACUCAAAGGAAUUGACGGGGCCCGCACAAGCGGUGGAGCAUGUGGUUCAAAUUCGACGCAACGCGAAGAACCUUACCUGGGCUAGACAACGGAGGCCCGCCUCAGAGAUGAGGCUUUCCCUUCGGGGACGUUCCGGUUCAGGUGCUGCAUGGCUGUCGUCAGCUCGUGUCGUGAGAUGUUGGGUUAAGUCCCGCAACGAGCGCAACCCUGCCUUUAGUUGCCAUCAUUUCUAGUUGGGUCACUCUAGAGGAACUGCCCGCGUCAAGCGGGAGGAAGGUGGGGACGACGUCAAUCCUCAUGGCCCUUAUGUCCAGGGCUACACACGUGCUACAAUGGGCGGUACAAAGGGUCGCAAACCCGACGAGGGGGAGCCAAUCCCAAAAACGCCGUCCUCAGUUCGG